CAGCUCUCCGAGUGGUGUGGAUGUUUAUUGGGCCUAAAGCAUCCGUAGCUGGCUGGGCAAGUCCCCUGUUAAAUCCACCGAUUUAAUCGUUGGUGUGCGGGGGAUACUGCUCGGCUAGGGGACGGGAGAGGCAGACGGUAUUUCCGGGGUAGGGGUGAAAUCCUAUAAUCCCGGGAAGACCACCAGUGGCGAAGGCUGUCUGCUAGAACGCGCCCGACGGUGAGGGAUGAAAGCUGGGGGAGCGAACCGGAUUAGAUACCCGUGUAGUCC
RNAcentral lists this ribosomal RNA (270 nucleotides) under uncultured archaeon. Its description in RNAcentral is "partial 16S ribosomal RNA". It matches the Rfam family "Archaeal small subunit ribosomal RNA", at positions 477 to 747 of the family's 1478-position model. The record is from RNAcentral.